GGUUGCCUGGUAUAGUGGUUUGAACGUUGGGCUAUGAUUAUGUAGAUCAGGGUUCAAAUCCCAGUUCAGCCA
Molecule: non-coding RNA, 72 nt
Organism: Phrynosoma platyrhinos (Desert horned lizard)
Lineage: Eukaryota; Metazoa; Chordata; Lepidosauria; Squamata; Phrynosomatidae
Source: the annotation of a GenBank genome assembly